This 497-nucleotide ribosomal RNA is filed under the name uncultured bacterium. RNAcentral's name for it is "partial 16S ribosomal RNA". It matches the Rfam family "Bacterial small subunit ribosomal RNA", at positions 28 to 507 of the family's 1533-position model. The record is from RNAcentral.
GAUGAACGCUGGCGGCGUGCCUAAUACAUGCAAGUCGGGCGAACAGAUGAGGAGCUUGCUCCUCUGACGUUAGCGGCGGACGGGUGAGUAACACGUGGAUAACCUACCUAUAAGACUGGGAUAACUUCGGGAAACCGGAGCUAAUACCGGAUAAUAUAUUGAACCGCAUGGUUCAAUAGUGAAAGACGGUUUUGCUGUCACUUAUAGAUGGAUCCGCGCCUCAUUAGCUAGUUGGUAAGGUAACGGCUUACCAAGGCAACGAUGCGUAGCCGACCUGAGAGGGACGAUGGCCACAUUGGAACUGAGACAGGGCCCAGACUCCUACGGGAGGCCGCAGUAGGGAAUCUUCCGCAAUGGGCGAAUGCCUGACGGAGCAACGCCGCGUGAGUGAUGAAGGUGUUCUGAUCGUAAAACUCUGUUAUUAGGGAAGAACAAAUGUGUAAGUAACUAUGCACGUCUUGACGGUACCUAAUCAGAAAGCCCCGGCUAACUACGUG